Long non-coding RNA from Arabidopsis lyrata subsp. lyrata, 1749 nucleotides. RefSeq lists it as uncharacterized. Lineage: Eukaryota; Viridiplantae; Streptophyta; Magnoliopsida; Brassicales; Brassicaceae. The record is from RefSeq and is a predicted model, not a curated record. The transcript has 4 exons.
AGGUUAUCAUAUGAUAGCGUUUCAGAAAUGCUAACCCCGAAAAUGAGUAAGCGGGGAACUAAAUUUCAGUUGGUGAACCUAAAAUCACUAUUUGCGGCAACACUUAGUCGAAAAUAUUUAUACUUAGCAACCCAUUUUUUUUUUUAUUGAUAACGAAAAAAAAAAAAAUCACGCACUCUCACCUGUAACCCUAAAUCCCAUUUUUCCAUCUCCAAAACAAAAAUUCACGCUCUCUCAAAUUUCUCUUGUCUUCCUCUCCUCCUCAUCGUCUUCUCUUUCUCCUCCUUCUUCGGCCGUUAAAGAUACAUGCAUAUUCAUCCCCGUCUUCUCCAAUUUGGUCUGAUUCGAGGUCAAAUCUCCUUCAUCCUGAGUUGGGUCCAUUGGCAUCUCCAUCUAUAGAUCUAGAUUUUGUUAUGGUUCUAGGUAUGGAGAAGUCUAAGACGAAUUCAACAAAAGAGAGAACUCCUCAACUUCUAUUUCAGAUCUAUGGCUACCUCCCUGUACGUGAAGCUUAUGGGAUUAGAUUUGGCUCACGAGAUGAUGUUUCGAGUGUUAAAAAUGGAGGAAUCGUGGCGGAGGAGGAGGAGCUUGAGCUAUUGCAAGCUAAAUCAUGUAACGAAAUUAAUAGAUGAGAAGGAGAGUGGUAACGCCGACGAUGUCGAGAUUCUUGAGCCGUGUUUGAAAUUCUUUAAACCAGAAGGAGAUGAAUCGGACGUUUCAAAGGAGGCGGAUAGAGGUAUCGAUCUUAUAGCAAGAGGUAAGUGACAAGAAGACCAAAAGGACUGAUCCUAAGUUCGGUGAUGUCUACUUCAAUCUUCUCAACAAGGAGACAAAACAAGGAGAGGUGUUUUAUGCUUCUGUUUCUCUGUUUGUUCCAUUGGUUAAUUGAGAUUUGAUCCUUUCAAUUUGGCAGCUUUACAGUUUUUGGUGAGCUUGCAGGUAAGCUCAAUUCAUUUGGUGAGCUUUCAACAGAUGAAAGAUGGUGUUUUAUAGUGUUUUCGGUUAGUCUAGAUAAUAGUUCUCCUAAGAUUGGUUGGGACUGUUUAAAGAAUCGUCUUUUAUCUGCUUGUCCAUCCUGCUUAGAAUAUUUGUACUUAUGUCGUCAAUCAAGUGUCUCUAAGCCUCCUUCGCUUUAUCUUUUCAAGUUCUUUUGCUGUGGUAGGAAAGGAUUGAUUCAUGUUAAGUGUAUAAUUGUUGUCUUUUGUCUUGUUUUUUUGGUGUUUUCUUUAGAUAUGGUUGUUAAAACAUUAAUUUUUGGUGAUUUUUAGAUGUUACUAAAGUCUUGACAGGGUUAGAGUUUACAUACAAAGAGUUAAUGUCAUGACAUCACCAUAUGGAAGAGUUUUGGAUAUGUUUUCAUCACUGCUCCAAUGAAACGAGUUUGGUCUAGUUUAGGUUUUGACAAGAAGGGCCAAAAAUCAGUAUACGUUGAAAGAGAUUGCCACAAUUCCAGGAGCCUUGACGGAGCUAAAAGUUCUGUUUUGACUGCAAAUGUGAUGGGUUGUGUCUACUCAGAUUUUAUGAUAUGUGAUACGGAGAUCAAGGUAUGGAAGAAGAUCAAGAGUCAAGACAGUGAAGUGGGAAUUGCUUGGAAUGAGACAACAAUAUAAGUUCUUGGAGGGAGAGAAAGAGCAACUUAUGAUGUUCUUUGUGACCUUGUUUUAACAAAUAGGGAAUGAUGAACUACUUUGUAUAAUUACAAUUAUGUAUCUUUUGAUGAUCUAUGGAAAGAAGCAUGCUUUUAACAAA